Molecule: long non-coding RNA, 4294 nt
Organism: Paramacrobiotus metropolitanus
Lineage: Eukaryota; Metazoa; Tardigrada; Eutardigrada; Parachela; Macrobiotidae
Exons: 6
Source: RefSeq, a predicted model, not a curated record
AGGAUUGCCAUUGUGCGUGGACAAUAUAGGAGCAUCGUACCGCCUAGAGUUUGUACAGAAAUCGGAUAUGAGCACAAGUUUGGGUUUUCUGGAAGGGUGUACAAUAUGGUUUCAGCAAAUCUGUAUGCGCUGGUCUGACUGGAUGCUAGUGGCGUUUAGCUGGGAAAGACUAUUGGUAAUUAUUAGCCCAUUCUGAUUCAGACUGCUGCAACGGGUUUCCACGGCCUGGAUCAUAAUAGCGAUGCUAUUUCUCGUAGCGUUACCGAAUGGGGUAUUCUCAUUUGUCGCUUCCUACUUGUACUAUGCCGAUCUUAUAGACGAUCUCAGGCACCCUACAAGCGCGCCAGAUUGGUUUAAUCGAUGGUCAAAGAUGGACAGUGCGGCUACGGUCAUCGUACAACUAGUGACCUUUAUGCUUAUCUUCAUUCCCAGCGUUUGUCUGAUCGUGUUUCUCAGUCGUCAGCACCGCUCAACCAUCAGCCAAAUGCACCUGCAACAGACACAGUCGUCCCAGGACAGAUUAAAGCGAAACAACUCCCGCCCUGGCCACUCCGAUACGGGCAUUACCGUUAUCCUGCUUAGUAGUUCGGCAUUGUACCUUGUCACCAGAUUCCCCAUGGUCGUUGAGUUAUGCCUGUUUUACUUAGGCAUUUCACCUAAUGACUACACGGUUGAACUUGUUGCCGGACCUUUUGUCGAUAUUGCCAUGUACGCCGGUUAUUCAUUUACAUUUUUCACCUAUCUUAUCACCACCAGAAAUUUUCGUGAGAACUUUUUUAAACUGCUUGCCCCUCUGAUGUCAAACGACGGUGCCUAUGUCAACCAUACUGGAACGCUGAAAUUCUGUAUAUGUUUCGAAACCGGACUAUCAACGUCAGCGUCCGCCGCGGAAGCCAGGGCAACUGCAGAUCCUUCCGUGAAAACAAUCUUCAGCUGUCUAUUGUAGAAUACUGAUGAAAUUUUUCAAGCAUAUAUAUUAGCAAAUAUUAACAUUGCCAUGCACAAAUGUACAGAUAUAAUACCUCAUGUACUGUAUUAAAUUUUGCUUAACACUCGCACUCGUCUGUGGUUUAAUUUCACGGAGUUUUCUUGUGUGCCGCGCAGGCGUAGCUCAUGGUUUCGUCCCAAUCUGGCGUAGAACGGUCUGAUAUUCAUGCAAAAUGUUUUCUAAACGUUGUUUUUUUCUUUUCAGUAAGCACGCAAUUAGAAAGAGUUGCUUUUGAAUCGGUAAACUAAAUCUGAAAAGAAGUGAGGACUUUGCAGAAAAAUUCGCAGCAGAGCCAAAUCACGCUGCCACACUGGGAGGCUGCCAUUUGUUCGCCAACCGGAAGCGACUGGAAUUCGUAGUUUUAAAGUUUUCAGUGCAUUUAUUUUUACUAAAUGUUUCAGUAAGUGAAAAUAAAACAAAUUUUCUGAGGAAUUCAGGUUAGGUAGAAAGAAGUCGACUGCCAGUGUAACGUUCCAUGAAUUUCUGAAUGAUUAAAUGUGCCUCUCAGGCACAUGGACGAGGGCGAGUGUUAAGGAUUUAUUAUUGCUUAACAUAUUAAAUUUUAUUUUUACAAAGCUGCCCACUCGACAAACAUAUGCUUUGAUAGCUGCCGAUACCGUAUACACAUACGGCACUUGUGCUUUACGAAUUAGUAUAAUUUUUAUUUAUGGAAAUGUUGGCCACAAUGCAUGGUUACUCCAGCGAAGCAUUGAGUCAAAACCGUUCCAGCUGAAAUCUUUUAAGUUAAAAUUUAACAAACUUUAUGAAGUUAUUAUUAUUAUUACUUAAUGUGUUGUUGCUCUCUCAAGUUUAAUUAAAGAAAGGAAGAGAAUUUCCAUUACCGUAUUACUGCUGUACAUUAUUUUACGAAUAUACUCGUAUAGUGUACAUAUUGUAUCUGUACAUAGUUCAUACACAUACAACAGAGUCUCGGAGAGAGACGUUGGUUGGCUGGGCGGUGCAUUGAUCGAUACCGAUCUUCGCAUGUCAAGCAUUUUUCGUGAAUAGGCUGGCUCAUGCAGCCAUUCCCACACACAGAAGCAUGCCGCCUCGACAUGCCUGUGCGGGAAGACACGAAGGAAACGCCAAGACGUUUAUCAUCUGGGCAAGGAGAGAAUGCACAGCUUUUUACUUUACAUGUUAAAUCAUACACGAUACACUAGUCUUUUACUUUUCGCCCUUAUUUAGUUUAAUAAGUCUACAAAUCAUUUACUACUGAUUCAGUGUUUUUAAAAUAUUUUUCUACUUGGCAGUCGAAAACGUAUCCUUGUUUACGUAUAUAAAUCGCGAAUAGUCUGGAACUGGUUGAGAAAAAAUUUUCUUUUAUUUGGAUUCUUGGAAGUUGGAACCAUGCAGCGGCUGAAUGCUGUCGACCAGACUGUUCGUGCCCGUAGUUCAAAGUUUUCUAGUUUUCCUUAUACAUAUCAACGCCAAAAACAUCCGCAGCCUUUUCUGUUGUAUUUCGGAUGUGCGCUAGCGGUGUUCGGAAUAUGUACACUGGCCGCUUUCCAUGUACAGUUUCCUGAUACGGAGAUCUUGCCCACGAUAACAACAACGUGUUUAUUAUGUGUGCUAUCGGGGAUCAUCAGCAUGUGCGCAGCCUGCUGUAUCGGCGCUGGCUGUCACCUCGUGGAGUGCGCUAUCGAUCCACGACACUGUCGAAAAAUGAUCGUUCUCACCUGGUAUCGCAUCUGUCUAGCGUGUUUCGCUCUGGAGAUUUGUGCGUCCAUUGCCUUAAUUGUCCAUUCCACCGUGGUAGCGGUGUACCGGCAGUGGCAAUGUUUCACGGAGAUGGCGUGUCUUCUUCUGGGAACAACAUGCCUCGUGAUAUUUUUCCUAAUGACAUGUGCGGUGAUCUUUUCUAUGCGGGAUUGUACAAAGAAGCAUAAAAGAGAGCGUGAGGCGAAUAUUUCAUAUCCGGCACAAGGAGACAUCAGCACGCCGAUGGCGGGUGUGCAAAGUGAACAAGAAGACGCCGUUUCUCUGCCACCGGACUAUUGGGAAGUGGUCGAUCCAGUCACGCAGCUGCCGACGUACCAGAGUGCCAUGGACACAGUGCAUCCAGAGCAGCGACUACUGGAUACGCAUGUUUAGCCUGGCCAUGACCUAUUAGACUGCUGACAGACCAAAUAAUACAUUCGUACAAACAGAAGGGAAAUGUAUGGCGGGCGUUCGCUGAAAUUAAGUUAUCUGCGUUCUUCUUUAACAGUAUCGACAUUAAUCAGUAUUAUGUACAGUGCUAUAGAAAUAUCAGAUCUUACGGUUGUCUAGAGAUAGUAUUGUAUUGUUGUCUCGAGUUGACCGCACUCGAGUAUUAUAUUGUUGUCCAAGAAUUAUUAUACGAGCACCUAAAAAUGUGUAUGGCACUCAGAUUUUAUUAUUUCACAAAUCCGCAACACUUUAUGGCGGUUACAGUACGUAUUUCUAUGCCGGCUGAUACAGAGUCGUUGUCAGUGAAGAAAUAAGUUGCAAGUUCAAACGUUUUACGUUUGUUUGGAAGUAUAACAUAUACCGCGGUAUGCGACAUUGGCCAUGUACCUGUAGAUGCUAGAGUGAUGCAGUUCACUAAUGCGGUCAGUUUCUGUUUUCCAAUCCGCAUUUUUAAGGAAUCUUCUAUAACCGCUUGGCAAUGACAAACGGAAGCGCUGUUUUGUCUUUAACUCUGAAUUUCCUCAUUGCUCAGAUUCUUCGUGUCGACGCAUCGGUAUUCGCCCACCGCUACUUCAGUCCGUUUAAUCAUGACCUUAUCUCCAAGAUGCCAAACACGGUACCGGAUAAUACGUUGUCAUUCGGCGCACCGCUAAAAUCACCGCAACGUAUAGUACAAUAUGCAACUGAGCUGACCACGACCAGCAAACCGCCUAGUAAGCCGGCCGCUACUACGAGGUCAUCCAACAAAAAGCAAUCAGGAUUGUCGGCUUUGGGACGUAGUUUGAUCGGGACGCUGGAUCCGAACAUAUGGGAUCCGGAGCCGCUGUACGCCGAAGAUAGCCGGGGAAAUCGUCACAGUUACGGGCAUUACCGCGCUCAGCAGCUGCUGCAUCCUCAUGAUACAUUUCGCAACAGGAAUCCGCGUGUUGGUUGAAACCGGGUUACCGUAGUCACCGAUAUAAUUAUGUUACUUCUUGUCAAAGUUUUGAUGUUAUUUCACGUAUAAGUUCGGUCCGCGUUGAGUUAACGUGUAAUGCAUAUGCAAAGAAAACCGAAGCAUGAUAAACUUUGUACGAUUAUCUUACUAUUUUGCCUGGAUAGUGGUGUUUGUAACUUCGUACUGACGCUUACUGCUGCCUUUCUAACCCAUAUUUU